Molecule: ribosomal RNA, 371 nt
Filed under: uncultured organism
Description: bacterial SSU rRNA
Rfam family: Bacterial small subunit ribosomal RNA
Source: RNAcentral
CAGAGGUCCCAAGCGUUGUUCGGAUUCACUGGGCGUAAAGGGUGCGUAGGCGGUCGGGUAAGUCUGAUGUGAAAUCUCAGAGCUCAACUCUGAAACUGCAUUGGAUACUAUUCGGCUUGAGGUCUGAGGGGGGACUGGAAUUCUCGGUGUAGCAGUGAAAUGCGUAGAUAUCGAGAGGAACACCAGUGGCGAAGGCGAGUCCCUGGACAGGUCCUGACGCUGAGGCACGAAAGCUAGGGGAGCAAACAGGAUUAGAUACCCUGGUAGUCCUAGCCGUAAACGGUGCGUAUUUGCUGUAAAAGGAAUCGACCCCUUUUGUGGCGUAGCAAACGCGUUAAAUACGCCGCCUGGGAAGUACGGUCGCAAGAUUA